RNAcentral lists this ribosomal RNA (252 nucleotides) under uncultured bacterium. Its description in RNAcentral is "partial 16S ribosomal RNA". It matches the Rfam family "Bacterial small subunit ribosomal RNA", at positions 524 to 776 of the family's 1533-position model. The record is from RNAcentral.
UACGGGGGGGCAAGCGUUGUUCGGAAUUACUGGGCGUAAAGGGCGCGUAGGCGGUUGGAUAAGUCAGCUGUGAAAACCACGAGCUUAACUCGUGGCCUGCAGUUGAGACUGUCUGGCUUGAGUGUGGGAGAGGAGAGUGGAAUUCCUGGUGUAGCGGUGAAAUGCGUAGAUAUCAGGAGGAACACCGGUGGCGAAGGCGGCUCUCUGGACCACAACUGACGCUGAGGCGCGAAAGCUAGGGGAGCAAACAGG